GGCUGGUCCGAAGGUAGUGAGUUAGCUCACUUGAUUGUUCACAGUCAGUUACAGCUUGAACUCAUUCUACUACUUCCCUCCUCACUACUGCACUUGACUAGUGAAAA
RNAcentral lists this Y RNA (107 nucleotides) under Prolemur simus (greater bamboo lemur). Its description in RNAcentral is "Y RNA (ENSPSMG00000023038.1)". It matches the Rfam family "Y RNA". Rfam says of the family: Y RNAs are components of the Ro ribonucleoprotein particle (Ro RNP), in association with Ro60 and La proteins. The Y RNAs and Ro60 and La proteins are well conserved, but the function of the Ro RNP is not known. Lineage: Eukaryota; Metazoa; Chordata; Mammalia; Primates; Lemuridae. The record is from RNAcentral.